CUUUAUUGAUGACCUCUCAUUUGUGCCCACUGUGUCUGGGUCAUAGAAGCCCUUGAUGGAACCUAAGAGAUAAAA
Small nucleolar RNA from Mustela putorius furo (domestic ferret), 75 nucleotides. The record is from Ensembl. Lineage: Eukaryota; Metazoa; Chordata; Mammalia; Carnivora; Mustelidae.